GUCGCUGUAGCUCAGUUGGUAGAGCAUAGGACUCCUUGUGUCAGGAGUUCGAUUCUCCUCGGCGACA
This 67-nucleotide transfer RNA is filed under the name Borreliella burgdorferi CA8. Its description in RNAcentral is "tRNA-OTHER". It matches the Rfam family "tRNA". From Rfam's summary of the family: Transfer RNA (tRNA) molecules are approximately 80 nucleotides in length. Their secondary structure includes four short double-helical elements and three loops (D, anti-codon, and T loops). Further hydrogen bonds mediate the characteristic L-shaped molecular structure. tRNAs have two regions of fundamental functional importance: the anti-codon, which is responsible for specific mRNA codon recognition, and the 3' end, to which the tRNAs corresponding amino acid is attached (by aminoacyl-tRNA synthetases). tRNAs cope with the degeneracy of the genetic code in two manners: having more than one tRNA (with a specific anti-codon) for a particular amino acid; and 'wobble' base-pairing, i.e. permitting non-standard base-pairing at the 3rd anti-codon position. The record is from RNAcentral. Lineage: Bacteria; Pseudomonadati; Spirochaetota; Spirochaetia; Spirochaetales; Borreliaceae.